Eublepharis macularius is the source of this 1820-nucleotide long non-coding RNA. RefSeq lists it as uncharacterized. NCBI's taxonomy places the organism in Eukaryota, Metazoa, Chordata, Lepidosauria, Squamata, Eublepharidae. The transcript has 2 exons. The record is from RefSeq and is a predicted model, not a curated record.
UCAUGUAUUUCUAAGCGACGGUGGAGAAUUUGCCAACGGAACACCACACGGCAAUCGUUGGCUGCAGGGCUGGGCAGAAUGGAAAGGAACAGGCUUUCCAGGAGAGUUUUCUAACUGUAUACCCCGGUUAAGACUUAACCUAACAGCAUUUUUAUGUGCCACGGCCCACUUAGUUAUUGCAGCAGCUUGGAAGAGCAGUAAACUCCCUUUGUUAUCUGAUUGAUACAAGAAGAUACAGGAAAUAUUUGUAAUGGAGAACAUUCUAGAUCAACAAAAGCAGAUUGAGUCAGACCAAUAUAUCUCUGAUUUUGCUGAAACAUGGCCAACUGUAAUUGACUUUACAGCAAGAAAUGAGGCAACUUUUCACUUUACCCACCCCAAACAGUUCCUACUUUUAUGAUGUAGAUGUAUCAUUAGCUGUAGUUCUAUCCAUGAUUGUAAAUUUAGUUGACCCACUGUUCUUUAAUUACUUAGUAAUUCUUGUGUAUACUUUAAUAUUUAGCAUCUUUCAGUGUUUUGAUUUCUAACUUCUGAGGUAUGUUGUUUUAAAGCUGUUAUUGUACAAUUUUUCUGUUUUAAUAAAGUUUAUUUAAAGCUGGGGGGAAAAAAUAAGUUGACCUGAAGGGCGGUAUAUAAAUUGAAUGUUGUUGUUGUUGUUGUUGAAAUUGUGGCCCCUUCAUUAAUACUUUCCCACAAAACUGCCCAACCAAAGUGGUUUUAGCUCUAUUAUGAAAAAAAGUCACAUGCUUGUCUGUUUGUUUUUUCUUCCUGUUCUGAGGCUAUAAGCAAAGGGGAAAGUGAUGAGGGAAAUUCUGAGGCGUGGAAGAGUUCCCUUCUCCAACACUGAAACCCCAAUACAUACCAGCUGCAUUUUAAAACUAAAUUACAUGUGAGGUAUCCAUGCUCUUUCUCACCAACAUCACAAGUAGUCAUUGCCAACUACAAAGAAGGGUCUGGGAGAGAAUCGAACAGAGCUUGACUGGUCAUGUUCACAGUCUCACUGCCGAAGAGUCUCUCUUCAGCAUUUGGAUGAGACUAUAUAAACAACAUAUAAAUAGAUUCAAAGAAGCUCUGUUAAAUACUGACAGAGAAGAUAUUCUCUCCAAAGAUGAGCAGAGAAGACAUUCUCUCAUUGACAGUAACACAGAGGUAAGCAACUAACAUUUGAGUUACUAUACAUUAUCUCUGCAGUGUCACUUGCUAUCCACUAUCAGAGAGCGGAUACCAGUGUUGACGUGAGUUUUGUAACUUUUACAUUGAAAUCCUAAGCAGAGUGACUCCAGUCUAAGCUCAUUGAUUUCAAUGGGCUUAGACUAGAGUCACUCUCCUUAGUAUUUCAUUGUUAGAGUCCCAAAAGAUUAAACCAGUUCAUGGAGUUUCUUGGUUAGACAAAGCCUCUGAUCCAUUCUGCUUUACACAGUGGUUUGUUGGAUACCACCAGAUCUUUGCUGUAUGACACAGUAUGUUGGACUGGAUGGUCCACAGGCGCCUCUUAUGUUCUUCCAGUGUCCAGGAGAGACUCAUACUUAAUGAUUACUUUUCUCUUUUUAUUUCUCAAGAUUGAGGGAACAGAUUAUGGUCCUAAUUUAAAAUAUUCUGGACAUUCUAAUUCUACCCUGGAUCCAGUCAUUCACGAUUCUCUCUCAUAGUGCAGACUGGCGGCUCUUUUCUCAAUAUCCUCAGAAUACAUUGUUUUGUCCACAGUUAUUUCUGUGUCCUGUGCCCAGUAGAAACUUACCGUUACAUUUGUACGUAUUUUUAAGCUUCACUGCUCUAAGCCUUUAACCCUUUCCAAUGAAUAAAUGUGUGUUGUUGUUUUA